AACGCGAAGAACCUUACCAAGGCUUGACAUACACCGGAAUCAUGCAGAGAUGUGUGCGUCUUCGGACUGGUGUACAGGUGGUGCAUGGUUGUCGUCAGCUCGUGUCGUGAGAUGUUGGGUUAAGUCCCGCAACGAGCGCAACCCUCGUCCUAUGUUGCCAGCACGUUAUGGUGGGGACUCAUAGGAGACUGCCGGGGUCAACUCGGAGGAAGGUGGGGAUGACGUCAAAUCAUCAUGCCCCUUAUGUCUUGGGCUUCACGCAUGCUACAAUGGCCGGUACAAAGGGCUGCGAUACCGCGAGGUGGAGCGAAUCCCAAAAAGCCGGUCUCAGUUCGGAUUGGGGUCUGCAACUCGACCCCAUGAAGUCGGAGUCGCUAGUAAUCGCAGAUCAGCAACGCUGCGGUGAAUACGUUCCCGGGCCUUGUACACACCGCGCAUA
This 439-nucleotide ribosomal RNA is filed under the name uncultured bacterium. Its description in RNAcentral is "bacterial SSU rRNA". It matches the Rfam family "Bacterial small subunit ribosomal RNA", at positions 958 to 1398 of the family's 1533-position model. The record is from RNAcentral.